UGGGGAAUAUUGCACAAUGGGCGCAAGCCUGAUGCAGCCAUGCCGCGUGUAUGAAGAAGGCCUUCGGGUUGUAAAGUACUUUCAGCGGGGAGGAAGGGAGUAAAGUUAAUACCUUUGCUCAUUGACGUUACCCGCAGAAGAAGCACCGGCUAACUCCGUGCCAGCAGCCGCGGUAAUACGGAGGGUGCAAGCGUUAAUCGGAAUUACUGGGCGUAAAGCGCACGCAGGCGGUUUGUUAAGUCAGAUGUGAAAUCCUCGGGCUCAACCUGGGGACUGCAUCUGAUACUGGCAAGCUUGAGUCUCGUAGAGGGGGGUAGAAUUCCAGGUGUAGCGGUGAAAUGCGUAGAGAUCUGGAGGAAUACCGGUGGCGAAGGCGGCCCCCUGGACGAAGACUGACGCUCAGGUGCGAAAGCGUGGGGAGCAAACAGG
RNAcentral lists this ribosomal RNA (429 nucleotides) under Chloroflexota bacterium. RNAcentral's name for it is "Chloroflexi bacterium partial 16S ribosomal RNA". It matches the Rfam family "Bacterial small subunit ribosomal RNA", at positions 355 to 776 of the family's 1533-position model. Lineage: Bacteria; Bacillati; Chloroflexota. The record is from RNAcentral.